CAAGGUUCAUCCAGGCGCCGAUGGUGUCAUCCGGACAGCUACAGUUCAGACGGCAAAGAGCAUUUUGGAUCGGGGCGUCAAAAGGCUUGUCCCACUGCCAAUUCAACCCGAUCUCGAGAAACCCGAACAAAUAGCCACCGAGACGAAAUAAGAUGGGAACUUCAACCACACCUCGCUAGUUUGAUCGGUACCCUCUCAACGGGGGGAGAAUGUUACGCCAUGCGGCUUACCAUAGGUCAUAUUCUUAACUAUCGAUCGCGGCACUAUAAUGUCGCAGACGGACCGUCGCGUCUGCCCGGCAAACAAACAUUGUAGUGGCAAGCGCAUGGUUCAUUAAGCAGGGCGACUUCCAGAAACGUCGACUCGUGGUCGUUAUUUUACCUCGCGUAAAAGAAUGUGGCGUGAUCCGAACGUAGUGGGGGUCGCCUUCCAGAAAAAACGAAAAAAAUCGAAAGGCGUUCAGAACUUUUCGAGAAGUCGAACCGUCAACACAUGUGAGUAUUUGUACGUAUGUACUUAUCGUCUGCUGUAUGAUCGAAUAUCGAAUAGGCGCUUGGCCAUGGAUCGCUGCAUUAGGUUUUCGUAAUCCCCGAAACCCAGACAAACCACUAUGGAAGUGCGGAGGUUCCCUGAUAUCGGCUAGGCAUGUUUUGACCGCAGCACAUUGUGCACAUAUGGAUGGAAUAGAAAACAUACACAAUCAUAAUAUUGCCAUUCUUAGAUUGGUGGAGGAGGUGCCAUUUUCGAGGUACGUAUAUCCCAUUUGUACGAAAGAGCCCCUACGAAAGAGCAACUUCGUCGGCUAUAACCCCCUUGUUGCUGGAUGGGGAGCGUUAAGAUAUAAAAAACAGUGCAGGAUGCUGUGAUUCGUUUCUUGUGGUCGGAGGUUAUGUUUGAUGCCUAUAUUUAUCAAAGAUUUAAUGCACAUUAUGGAGAAAGUGUUUUGUCACGAAGUGUGUUUGAAUGGGCACAAAAGUUCAAAGAAGAUCGCACAAGUGUUAUGAAAAAACAGCUGGACGCCCGUCCACAUCCACGAUGACAACAUUGAACGUGCUCAUGAACUUAUGCUCUAUGGAAUAGACGAGUGACACUGGAUAAUGUGGCAAAUCAUUUGCAAAUCAGCCACGGCUCUGCUUAUGCAAUAGUGCACGACAGAUUUGGAUUUUAAAAAGUUUGUGCGAGAUGGAUGCUGAAAAAGCUGAUGAAAAGGUGAAGACGACGAUGCAUUCGUGGUUCGCAGCUCAGCCCAAAACAUUUUUUAAUGAGAAAAUACGAAGGUCCUUCGGCAAAUGGACAAAGUGUAUACAGAAAUCGAGUGAUUAUGUCAAAAAAUGAUGUAUGUCUUUUUUGACAAUUGCUUAAAAUAAAUUCUACACCGACAGAGCGGGUAACUUUUUACUCACCCUCGUAAGACACUUAAAUUUCCAAUCUAUUAUGAUGAAUAAAAGAGCUUAUACUAUUAAAUCUAAUUGUAUUUUGUUGAAUGAGAGUACACGUGUAUGUGAUGUACAUUACCUUUAUAUCCCCUUGAACGCUUCAAUAUUGCGCAUAUAUACUAUAUUUUGUACAGCUUCUAUAAAAUUUUGUAUGUUUGUUUAGGCUGUUAAUCUAGAGGCUGGAGUACAAAGAAGUGGCACAAUGAUGUGGGCUGAUGACAUUUAUAAUUAUCAAGGAAUCACCCCUACAUUCGCUCAGAAUUUUAAUGAAACUGUCCCUUGGGAAGGAAGAACUGAUACCUUGAUAUCACGGUUUGUACAUCCUAUAUAUACGACAAAUUUUAGAACAUUAUAUAACGAAGAACCAGAUCGUCGUGGCCAUGUGAUGUGAAUAAAAGGACUUGAAUUUGAUGAUAUUUUUAUAAUGUUAGAUAACAUAACUAAGUAUCUUCACAGUAAGAUAGGAUGACAUGGUUUACAUGAUCUUAAUGUUGUUCACUCGAGUGAUGAUAUUAUAAGGAAAAGCGUAAUAUCACAGGAUAUUUAUGUUUAGUAACCAGUAAUUCAGAGAUUGGUAUUCAUGGUUACUAUAACGAGGCUGUAGAAACGCACCCUUUCUUCUUUGCAAAUGGUCCUGUAUUUAUGUCUAAGCCGAAACUGGAACCUCUGAAUAAUUUAGAUUUAUUCUUGUUAUUUUCUAAAAUACUUAUCUACAGUAUACCAUAAGGAAUGAUACCGUAUCGCACCUAAUCAAGUGCCUUAAGAAACAUCAACAGGAUAUCACAGUAAUCCCUUAUCGACAGAUAUUUGUAGCCACUACAAUAUCUAUGACACUGGUAGUAAUUAUAAGAACAAUAAUGAUGUUCUAUAAGAGGAAAUGAUGAUUAGGAACAAAAACUUACAGAAGAUAUCAUGCGGUGGAUGGAUAAUAUGCAAAAAAUAUUAAGCAGUAUAUGAAUUUUCGUAUUGCGUAGAGAUAACAAAAUGAAUUUUAAAAAAUGUCGACACGGUAAUAAGAAAUAGCAUCAUGACAAAGAAUAUAUAAAGACAGUUUCAUUUUUUAUAAAUAAAAAUUUGUUGUUCCAGAUUUUGAAAUACAGUGAAACGUUUAAUUAGUAUCUUAAUAUCUUUAAAUAAUUAUUAUUUUAGAAUCAAUUGUAAUUGUAUCAUACGUACUUUUGAAUUCGUGCAAGAACAUAUGUAAUUUUGAAGUAGUUAUUAUUAGGAAACUGUUAGACGCGAACAGUAUGCGGAAAGUUAGUAUGCAGUGUAAUAAUUAUCAAUCAAAACACAAGAAUUAAAUUCUUGAGGAAAAAAUUUCCGGAAUUUCUUAUUUACAUGAUUAUAAAGAAAUCCAUAAUAAAAAGGAGCUGCUUUCUAAUACUUCUCUUCCUUGUAAUGCCUAUGUUAAUAAUAACGAGGUUCGACUUUUUGUUUUUAGAGGGAUACUGGAAAAUUUGAAAGUACAGUACCAUUGGGAAGAAAAUCACGAUAUUGAAAACGAUAUUUGCAAGUAAAUUUCCAAAAAAUCUGUUUUCAAAUUUUCGCUUUCUAUUUCACAUUAAAAGAAAGGGAGGGCUGCCUUCUUUUUCUGCAAGACAAAACAAACAUUCUGAAUCUCGUAUCAAUGAAUGAUGUCAAUAAGUUAUUUUUCUUUUCAGAUUGAACAAUAUUCCAGAUUUAUUCAUAAUUUCAUACUACGCGAAGAAUAGACUUUCAUAGGUAUAUAAAGGAAAUAUUAAGUAUAGGAAAACUCUUUUUCGUUGUAGGUGACAUAUGCUUCACGGUUGAACACAUGUAUUUUUGAACACAUAUAAAUGAAAAAGUACUCUUAUGGAGAAAAAGAAUUGAUACCUUCGAUUGACAUUAGAUAAUGUAUAUAAACUUAUGAACAAUCACUAUCAGUUUGUAUUUUAGGUGCACACGCAGAUUUGUUGGAGUUCUUAUAAAAUGUACUUCCUGUACGAACGUUUUAUUCUUCCAAAUUUUACGAUACUAUGUCUCAUAUAAUAACUAUAUGGAUUAAACGUAAUAUAAAUGAUCCGAAAAUAGACUCGAACGACAUUAAUUGUCUUUCUAUUUAUACCAAUAUCGAAAAUACAAGUAAAGCUGGAGCAAUAGUAUGCAAGAAUGGACUAUUUAUUAUUUUAAACCAAAUCAUAGCAUAUUCAGAAUGCACAGUAUUAUCAUGAAAUGUAAAUGAAUCAGUUGUAAACGAACGAUUUUACUGUAAAAUCGUUGCCUCCUUUUUUUCAUCUGAAAUAUAGCAGCAAUGAGUA
Bombus huntii is the source of this 3715-nucleotide RNA transcript. It is a transcript of the gene named venom serine protease Bi-VSP-like, with no coding region annotated. The transcript has 9 exons. NCBI's taxonomy places the organism in Eukaryota, Metazoa, Arthropoda, Insecta, Hymenoptera, Apidae. The record is from RefSeq and is a predicted model, not a curated record.